UGAGCACUCUUUGCGUUUCGUAUACACAAACCUAUUCGUAUAUAUAUAUAUAUAUAUAUAUAUAUAUAUAUAUAUAUAUAUAUAUAUAUAUAGCUUAAGAUUUUGGUUUACGAAACACAAACAGUGCUCA
This is a non-coding RNA of Paramuricea clavata, 130 nucleotides long. The record is from the annotation of a GenBank genome assembly. Lineage: Eukaryota; Metazoa; Cnidaria; Anthozoa; Malacalcyonacea; Plexauridae.